AUGAAAAAUAAAAAAAAAUAAAAACUUAUGUAUAUAAGCAUCUAACUCCACUCUAUCUUGCCUUCAAAAGUGUCUAUGAGCUUUCACAUGUAUGGUUUUAUUUUGACAUUGAGAGUUAAGCAAUACAAAUAUAAACUUUGAGACCCAGGACAAAACACAAACUUUGAGACCGUUGACAAAACAUUGACUGGUCCAAUGGAUCAUCAUAAUUAGUAACAAGUUAUUCACCCAACAAAUUUACAAUUCAAAUUUGAUAGUAUCCAUUAAAGACAACUGCCACUUUCAUGUAUAGAAGAGGAACAGAGGUCCAAGGGAAAAUUUGGAAGCUUCAACCUAACCUCCAAAAGCACCAUUAAUGCAUAAAAAAUGGUGAUUUUACCUGACUUAAUUUCCAAAUAUA
This 400-nucleotide unclassified non-coding RNA is filed under the name Hevea brasiliensis (rubber tree). The record is from RNAcentral. Lineage: Eukaryota; Viridiplantae; Streptophyta; Magnoliopsida; Malpighiales; Euphorbiaceae.